RNAcentral lists this ribosomal RNA (379 nucleotides) under uncultured bacterium. RNAcentral describes it as "bacterial SSU rRNA". It matches the Rfam family "Bacterial small subunit ribosomal RNA", at positions 28 to 418 of the family's 1533-position model. The record is from RNAcentral.
GAUGAACGCUGGCGGAGUGCCUAACACAUGCAAGUCGAGCGGCAGCGCGAGUAGUUUACUACUUGGCGGCGAGCGGCGGACGGCUGAGUAACGCGUGGGAACAUGCCCCAAAGUGAGGAUAACUGCCCGAAAGGGUAGCUAAUGCCGCAUACGAUCUUCGGAUUAAAGGAUUUAUCCGCUUUGGGAGUGGCCUGCGUACGAUUAGAUAGUUGGUGAGGUAAUGGCUCACCAAGUCUACGAUCGUUAACUGGUUUGAGAGGAUGAUCAGUCAGACUGGAACUGAGACACGGUCCAGACUCCUACGGGAGGCAGCAGUGAGGAAUCUUCCACAAUGGACGAAAGUCUGAUGGAGCAACUCCGCGUGCAGGAUGAAGGCCUU